GGUUGGGACAUCUGCCAUCCCAUUGAUUGCCAGGAUUGAUUGGGUUGAUCUGGCUGGCUGGACAAAUAUUUCUCCCUCACCUCUCCGUGUGCAUCCAUCCUGAAUUUUUGCUCUUGUUGAAAGAGAAUGACCAUUGUCCGCAUGAGAAGUGUAUCAUUCUCAGGACAAUAUAUUGUUCUUUGGUAUAUGUGAUACCAGAGUGAAUUGUACUUUGGUAUAAACCCGUGAUGGNCACACACAUGGGAGCACUAAAAACUGGAAAACCAGCCAGCUGGUCUUU
RNAcentral lists this small nuclear RNA (280 nucleotides) under Ophiophagus hannah (king cobra). RNAcentral describes it as "7SK RNA". It matches the Rfam family "7SK RNA". From Rfam's summary of the family: 7SK was discovered as an abundant small nuclear RNA in the mid-70s but a possible function has only recently been suggested. The record is from Rfam by way of RNAcentral. Lineage: Eukaryota; Metazoa; Chordata; Lepidosauria; Squamata; Elapidae.